UUCAUUUUUUCCUUUUCAUUUUUUUCCUUCCCCCCCACCUUACCUCCAGCUUUCCCUCCUGCUUUCCCUAUUACAAAAACUGGGAACAAAGCCAGCCUGGGUUUGUGCCCUCGGGUUGCAGCUUGCACUCAGGCAGCCCUGCUCUGUUCACAUCGGGAGAAGUCUCACCUCCCCACCGUCCCCGUGUGCCCAAAGACAAACCCAGAGCCAGGUUAAUGCCGGAGGGGCUUUAGCACUGGGAAACCCUGCGCCAGGGGAAGCUCUUCUCAGGAGAUGAGGCUAGCAGCUGGAUUUUGGGGGCUACCAUCAGGCAGCAGGAGGCACGCACCCUGCUUCUGCACUCACCACUCCUUGCCUGCUCAAGUGACCGACUCUGCCGUGCCUCAGUUUCCCCAAGCAUUAAACAGAGGGAGAGCAAAAAAUAACCUGGCUUGCCUUCACGAAGCACCAGCACUUCAGGAGGAUAAAGAAGCACGUGAGUGGCCGGUGAAGGACUGGGAACGAUGUCACCUGCCAACACCGCCUGCCCGCCUGCCAUGCUGUCAGAUACAGAAGUGCUUCUUGAAAUGGGGAAGCUGCCCGUGAAAUACACCCAGAAAUCUCAAUAAAAGGAAGUGCGUUGAGCCCAGAUCAGAAGGAUGUGCCUCUCCUCGGCUUCAUUUCGAAACAGUUCAUUAUUUUUUUCUGCAGGUAUUUACCAAACUUCCCCUAAGCGAUCACAAACCAAGUGAGCACAGACACUGAUCCCGGCCUCGCUCUGUGGCCCCUCUGACGCUGUCACACUGCGUUUGCUGAGCUCGGGGCUGGGGAGACGAUGCAAGAGAUUCACCACAAAAGGCCUCUGUUGCUCAAAAGGAGCACGUCCCAGCCCUACAAGUACUUACAGAGUAGUUAGGUUCAAGCCAGAGGACGUUCCUCUGGGCUUCAUCGCCACUGUCCCCAUGCUCCGAAUGGCACAUGCACCUACAGGGCUUUACUUUUCAGGACAGGACCCGUCUGCUGGGAAACACCAGGAGGGAAGCAAGGAAGAGCCCCCCACAUCGCAGCUGGAGGAAAAGCAGUCCCACAGCACCAUCCUGCAGAACAGAGGCACUUCUGUCCUCUCUCCUCCCGCGCUCGCCGCCCAGCCCAGGUGCAGCAGCCUGUAUCUCACCACACCGCCAAGAACAGCCCCAACCCCACAGCUGCACGCCUCCUUUCGCAGCAGCAAACCUCCUGGUCCCACCAGGAAGCGGGCAGGAGCGCAGCGGACACAGGAAGAAAAACAAAGAAUUAAUUCAUCUCCUUUUUUAUUACUUUUCGGUGGGGGUGCGUGGCACGCGCUUAGGAGAACCACCACAAAUCCCCGCAGCAAACCCGCACCCCGAUACGGGAGCUGGGAUGCCCCAAGCACCCCGACAGCCGCUGACAGCCACCGGGGAGCUUCCCAGGGCUGCUCCCAGCAGCAGGGUCAGCGGAGAGGUGAGAGGCCAGGAGGGAGCAAGGCGGGCCGGGCUGCUGCGGGAAGGAGGCGGGAGUCCCCGGGAGAUAGGGCCACACCAGUUCCCGUUAAUUACACAACCCUCUGCUAUGUAGGGCUGGUUGCAAAAUCAGUCAGAGGAUAACACAUGGUCUGGUGGGGGGGGAGGAAAAACUAGGAGAAAAGACUCCAUUGCUAACAAAGAAAUGCAUCCGAAGCAGUUUUCCCCAAAUACUCGGCGAUGCAAGCAGUACCAGCCAGGCCAAGCAGCAGCAUGGGCUCCAACAGGCAGCCGUGCUGAGGAUUGGCCCUUUGUAGGGCCAGCGUGGUCUCCAGAAGCCGUGCCCGCAUGUCAGAGGGGGGAUCCCACCCAGAGCAGACCCCCCCUUGCAGGAACAGCCUCUGCUGCUCCAGCGUGGGCCAAGCCCUGCCCAGCAAGGGCGGCUUUAGGGCCAGAAACCCCGCAGCCUUCUCCCUGCCACCCAACCCUCUCUGCCCAUCCUGACACAUCCCAGACCUCUUCACCAUGGGCAAGCCCCACUUCGAAACCAGCACCUGCCCAGCCUCCCAGGAGCCCCAUUUCAGCGGAGAAGGGGCCACCAGCUGGCGCAGGCAGCCCAACAGCCUGAUGAAGAGGGUUGCCUGUGUCCCCUCCGUCCCCAGUUCCCACUCGGCACGCUCCGUCAGCACUCGUUUUCGGGCAGCCAAGCGCAAAAGCCAGAACAGGCAGGCAGAGAUAAUCCAAGGAAAUUGGGCGUCUAGCAGCCAAGAGCAGCACAGUAUCUCCUUCUCAGCAGAGCAGCCAGUUGCAAGCUCCAGAAGCGUGCUGUCAAGAGGGCCGUGCGUCUCGUCGGCACGGUUAGCUGGGGUGCUGCGAUUUCUGGGGAGGGAAGAGCAGGGUCGGAGCGCUGAGGACCUGCCAGGUCUGGCGACACUAGAAAACACCUGGGGUGAAGCAGGGGAUGUACAGCCAUGCAGAGGUGCCACCAGAAGGCAGAGCAAGCCCUUGGAGGUGGGAUCAACCUGCCCUGCCUGCACCCGCAGCUGCCUCUGGCAGCGGCACGAGGAUGCUCCCGAGCCAAGGAGUGACCCCAGGGCAGGCAGGGAGGGGAUGCAGUGGGCAGGGGCUGCCCUGGCAGGGGCUUUCUCCCAGCCCACGUACCCCAAGGGGCAGCAGGGCAGAGGAGGCGGGAGGUGCUCGGGAAGGGCUCCGCAGCAGGGCGCCUGGCCCUGUGCUCACCCUGCAGCCACGUGGGGCGGCACCACAGGCGAGAGAUGUCGGGGGCUGCAGGGGGUCUGGCUCCCAGGAGGAGCACGUAUGAUUGUGGGCCGAGUCCAAAGAGUCAACAAACACCAUGUCAGGAGUCUGAGGAGCUUGGCUCGGGAACAACGAUGACUUUCUUCCUAUGACAUCCAGAGAAGCAGAAACAAAAAGGAGAGAGAGCUGGAGCUGGAAGGAGCAGCCCUCAUCCCUCAUCCCACCCGCUGCCCUCUCACCCACAUGCAGGACAGAGGAGGGACCCAUCCUGUUCUGUCCCCUUGGAGCAUUUUAUGGGCAGAUCAUAAGCCCAAAAUCCCACGGCGUUUGCUUCAUCUGCCAGUGAGAGGGGAUAUGGGAGCCUGCAAGCAUGGUGAGAGACGGUGUUGGUGCUCCAGGAGCAAUACAAUGAGGAAAAGGAAUGAGGGGACCGAGGGAGAAGGGAGCAAAAGGAAAAUGAAAGAUGGGUUUUAAAAAGGGAGAAGGAGGGCAGCAAGCACUGGGGGUGCAAGCAUGAGCCAGUGCAGCACCAUUAAGAGCAGAGGUGGCCAAGCGACUCUCCCAUGGUGUGGCGCUGCCCCAUGCAACGCAGGCACUUCUAGCAGCCGCUAAUCCCUGCCUCACACUGCCAGGCUGGUUCUCCUGCUAGGGUUAGGUGGGCUAAGGGAUAGGAAGGAAGCCCCAGGCAUCAUCUGGCAAUUCCACUUCCAAGCCUCACGGGAAGACAGCUUAUCCCAGCUCGCAGAAAGCCAGCAUCCAUCCAUGCCUCCCCUGCUGGAGCCGGGCAAAAAGAUGGAGCCACCAUGGAGGGGCAGGGAAAAGUGCUGGGGUGCAUCCAAAAAGCCUGAAGGCCAGCACAUGCCUCCACCAAGUGGGAAAAUGGUGAUUAAUUCUGCAGAGCCAGACCUCAUACGGAGCUGGAAGGAGCCUUUCUGCCAUUAAAGGUGGAUGGAUCCAGAAAGAUGGAUUGGGGCAAACACAAGCAGAAGCUGCAUGCAGGACCACGUCAACUGGAGAGGAAAAGAGGAGCGAGAAAUGCCGGCCUGAGGAAGGAGAAGCCCCUCAGAGCAGGGGAGCACACAGUGGAUAACACAUGAGCCUUUCCUCAGGCAUAGCUGAGCUCGGGCCCCGCUGCUGUCAGCUCCCUUACGGAAGUUAAGUGGCAACUGCAAGGAGGCGCCUGCUUUGAAACCGUUCCAGCAGCUGGUUUCAAUUAUUGCUUCCGAUUUUAUUGCAGGGGGGGAGGAACUUUGCCCUUCACAAAUGGAUGGCAGUUGUGGUUGCUUGGGAUGUGUCAAUAGCUCAGGGUUUGUCAAUGUUAAUGGCUCCAGAGCAACCUUUCGUUGGAAAGGAAACUGCUUUUGCAGCGAGAAAAAAGCACAUGCAUGCGCAUGCACCGAAGGAGAGAUCAUAUUUUCCACCCCGUCUGGCAGGAGCUUGAUAAAACAAAUUGCACAUAGUGUCUAUUUAGCAGCAGCAAGCAACAGAUACCUAGGGCUGGGAGAGGGGUUGCUUGGUAAUGCAGAAAAAAUCCCUAGCAAAGGGUUCGUUUGCAAAAUGAGCUUGUAAGGGAAAGAACCAAAGACUUCCAGCUGAUGCAAACUGGCACAGCUUCACCACAGAGAGUGGGGUGGUGCUGAUACACGCUAACCAAAACAUCGGGCCUGUAUUUCCAUGCAAUAACAAGAGAAAUCCAAAUAAAUCCAGCUCCAAGUGAACCAACCCUUGCACAUCUCAGACCAGGUGCUCCUGGGUGGCUGCAAGCUUUCAGCCCCCCGGUGCCAGUGGGUCACCAGUCCCUGCAUGGGGUUCCCUUUGGGUUCGUUAAUAAAUUCAGCCCACGUGUUUCUCUGCCCAUGUAGUCCCUGGACAGCUCUCAGACACGGGGCUGGUGUGAAGCUCCUCUGCGGCAGGGCAAAUCCACGUAGCUCCGUCUCCAGACGCCGCUGCUCAUCCCAUACAACCCAAUAUUGCACCGUCAGCACCAGCCCUGCCUCCACGCCAGCAGCACACCCCGCAGGUGACUGAACGCAGCCGAUAGCAGAAGAUGCCCAGCCCGGCAGAGGAUGAGGAUGGGUGCUGCCAGCCACCCUGCCUGCGUGCUGCGAGCCCCCAGAGACCCCGCUGCAGACCUGCCCGUGAGAAAGGCAGCCCCGAGUGCUGAAACCUGGGAUUAAGGCACUCCGGCAGCUGCCUCGCACAUCUGGUGCGUGUUAGGAGAGAUACAUGGCAAGGAAAGCACACACGGGCGCCAAGCAGAGCUAGUUAACCCCUUGGUAGCUGAGCCUCCUCGGAGCACCCAGGCAGCCCGAGGACAGGGAUACCUGCUAAGCCUCAACCCAGAUCUCAGCAGUGGUCCAUGCUCGCUAGGUGAUUUGGGAACUCAGCAAUUCAGGUGCCUAAACAUAUGUGCAGUGCCAUUGGAGAUGCCUCAAUCUGUGUAAAACACCUGCUCAAGGCCUGGCAGGUGUCACACAGGUCCGAUAAGAACUACCUGUAGCUGGCACCCAACAGAGGGCAAAUAUCAUGGUUAAGGCACCUCUUUCCCUUCGCAAACAAAUGGCAUCCUUCCAAAGGAUGCUGAAACACCUCCCCAGGGGGUCCAAAGCCUCAGUCCUGGGAGGAGCAUGUCAGACUCGGGUUAAGAGAGCAGAAACCUCAGCCACAGCUAUGGGAGGCCAAAGCUCAGUCCAGACUCCUGGUACUCCUUGUGGCACGGAGGGACAUGCUUUAGUGAUGCUGGACAAAGGCCGAGCAGAGCUCACCCCCUCCUGGGGUGCGGCCAAAGGAUGCUGGAGGGGCUGGGUGACCCCAUGGCAUGGGCUCCAGCAGUAGGGGGGCUGGCAAAACCUCCUGGAUUGGCCCCAGGACACCCAGCCCCACAGCAAGCUGUCUCCAGAACCCACAGAGAAGGGAAUCCCACAGGCUUCAGAGCCAGAUUUCACCCCAAGUGUUUUUAAACCAUUUUAAAAUACACAGUUGUGUUUUUUUGUUUGGUUGGUUUUGGUAGUCCAUGCUCAGCUAACCCCUCUGGCUAGCACAUCCUUCAGUGAUUAAAAAAAAUCAAAUAAAAGCUCCUGGGCAAUCCCCUAUUAACACUCACCACCCCUAAACCCCCAGCUUUACAUUGCAAAAUAGGCAAGACAAGCCAGGGUUUCCUGCAAGGAGAAAGGGGCAGCAAAGGCACCUGAUACGUCCCUAUAUUUAGAGGCAGCUCUUCAUCCCUUAUGCCCCUGCCAGAGCACCUACAUCUAAUAUGGAAUGCUGCAAUAUUGCCCAGCUUCAUUAGAGCUUCCAGCUGGAGUCUGCUGGCCCUCCCCUGUGUGUUCCCCCACUCUUCUUCACUCCGAUGCUCCCAGCUGGGUCAAACUCGGAGCGGUCACCCCGUGCGGGGCUCAGCCAUCCCUCCCCAAGGAAUCCCAUGUGCCGAGGGCUCUCCCCAUAUCAGCUUUCCUGGCCACCUCCUUCCAGCCACGGGUAUACUUAGCAACAAGACUCAUCUUCGCAGGGACCCUCGAGACUCCUCUAAGGAUCUGGAGAAUUCAAGACAGCUGGGGACAGGACGUGGCUGAGCAAAGCCUGGGGCUUGCUGGUGCGGUGGAGCCCUUCCCUGGGUGCUGACCAUACAAGGGCUGCUGAGGGCUUCCUGCAGCUCCCGGGAGGGCAACCCCACAGGGAAGGUAGCAGGGACUCGGGAGAAGCUGGCUUCUCAUCUCUGAGCUCCUUGCUCUGCAGCUGGACCUGCUUCGUGAGCCACGCUCAGGUGGCCAUGUCCUGCAGGGCAGGCUUCACGUCAGGUGCACAGCCCCGAGCCUCCCCAGAGAGCAAGGGCAGCUCGUGGAAAAGUGUAACUCCAGCUGGUUUUUGGUGGCGUUACACCAGCACAAGCAAGGUUCUGCCAGCAUGCCUCCAGUCACACGGGGACAAGGGGUAAGCUGCAUCCAGGCUGGGAUUGCCUUAACAGUUAUACAAGUGUAAGCCUUCCCUACUGUAAAUUCCUCCUCUAUAUACGCUGGGCAGAUUUCAAGGCUCAUUAAGCAAACCCAACUCCUUUUUUCCUCCCCCAUAUCUCCAAUGUAUGCAUACAUUGCCACCAGAGAGCCUUGGGAUUGGCUUCCCUGGCAGCUCCAUCCCACUGCUCCCUCCUCCAGCACUCCUCACACUGUCUUAGGUGCACUGCCCUGACUCCAUCUAUCCAUCCAUACACUGAUGGCCUUGAGAAGAGCUCCUGCCUGAGGUGAGGAGAGCAGAGAGCUGAGCUAACCACAGGCAUAGAAGAGGUAGCCCCAGGCAGCAAACACAGACUUCCUUCCUCCCUUUGCGGGGUGGAAAUUUUGAGAGCUUGGCAAACAUGUAAAUAGCGCAAGCAAAAGGAGGAGUUCAGAGCUGCACAUGAAACCAGUACACAAAUCAGGAGGGAAAGCAAUUCUCCAUUUUCUUAAACCAAAAAACCAAAAACUACUUUUGUUCUCUAUUUUUUUUCCAUCCAUUAAUAUUUCAUUAAAAUUCAUCUGAAGGGAAAGGGCUGCACCACCUUUAAUCAACAUCCAUGCACACACUUUAUCAGCAAGUUUCAAAAAGACUUUCAAUGCUAUAAAACAGGUGCCUUCCUAUCUGUUUAUCUGAAGCUCCAGGAGAAAACAGAGAAAGGAAACACCUAGCCCUGCCCCACCAGGGACUCCUGCUGCAUGGCCCUGGUUGAGCCAAUAUACAUGCACCCAUUGAAGGGGCUCAGCCACCCCAAAAAGGCUCCUUCCCCCUGCAAGGCAAUGAGCACUGCCUGGAAUUACACCUCAGCACCCCCCCCCCAGCAGUAAAGCUUUCCCCUUUGUUUCUGCAGGCAGCUAUGCACUGAGGCUCCAGCACCUUUUUGAAGCCUCCAGUCAAGCCUUCAGCCAGGGCUAAUUGCUGUCAGGUGUCAGCCCAAACACUCAGUGCAGCCGUUAGCAAUAGGAGAUGACACACCUUUCCCCUCUCCUUGUCACUCAGGGCUGUUUUUUUUCUCUCGACGUGAAGUGUGCUGCCUUUCAGCAGCCUUACGGAGAAAUGCUAAUGUGAGCUUUGAAGUUGGAGGAGAAAAUCAGGCAACCCCCAAGCUCCAAGGAUGCUCAGCCUGACCUGGCUGCGUCCAAAUCUGAAUAUUUCUGUAGGAUUCCUCGGCCAAGACUAUCACUGCCUCCCCCUAUUGCAGACAGCUGCAGUUUGGUCUCUGCUGCUGGUCUUUUUCCCCUUAACCCCAAUGUAAAACUGCCUGCUGUGGAGUGAACAGAGUACGAAUUUUACAAUCUGUUGAUAAAGCAACAAAGCAGACCGGAGGAAUGGGGAGAUGUGUAAGCUGACAAAAGACAGCAGCCAGCCUGAAAAAUGUCCAGGUUAAUUCAGUUUAGAGGUGUAGUGGACACAAAAGAAAUCAGACUGCCAAGGCAGCGCCACCUCCCAGCCCCAUCCCACAGCCACGUUAGCUCCUGGUGUCACAGAUCCUGAGCAUGGUCCUCCAAGCAGCAGCAAAGGCAGCAGGUGAGAGCAAAAGGGGUCUGGAUAUCCCUCCUGCGAGGGGUCUGGCUUCCUCCCGCCUCCCAUCUCCUUCCCACCAAAGUCACCACCUGUGCACGCACAGAGAGGACACAUCCUGCAGCAGGGUCUGCCCCAAUUCACCUUAAAGAUAGGGCUAAUUUCAACUCUGGAGCACCACGCAGGCCCAGGUCUUGGAGCCAGACCCCUUGCUGGACUUGCAUGGGGCUGGAGUCCAGGUUCCCUGCUGGAUCAACCCCCCCCAGUGGCUUUGAAGUUUGAAGGAGAUGGGUAGGACCUUUAAGAAAUCUAAGGCUCUCCCUAGCUGGAGGGCCUCACCAACGCCCUGCCAGGGCAUCUGAUCACCUUCAUGUCCCAUGGAUCCUCUUCAUACCGGCCCCGCUAUCCUUCUUCCCCCCCAACACCUCCCCUCCCAGCUCCCCAUCCUCCCAGAUUCAUUGCCACUGGGCUCCCCAGUCCCCAG
This is an RNA transcript of Cygnus olor (mute swan), 8712 nucleotides long. RefSeq lists it as uncharacterized. The record is from RefSeq and is a predicted model, not a curated record. Lineage: Eukaryota; Metazoa; Chordata; Aves; Anseriformes; Anatidae. The transcript has 2 exons.